Chenopodium quinoa (quinoa) is the source of this 550-nucleotide long non-coding RNA. RefSeq lists it as uncharacterized. Lineage: Eukaryota; Viridiplantae; Streptophyta; Magnoliopsida; Caryophyllales; Amaranthaceae. The transcript has 2 exons. The record is from RefSeq and is a predicted model, not a curated record.
GUGUAGUUCAUUCACCAACAUUCAACAAUACAAAAUCCAAUUACACCCCUUCAUACUUAAAACACAAAUUUGGCAAACAAUUCUUCGUGACAAAACAGUAAUGGAAGGCAAAGUUGGCUACAAGAGAAUCAUAGUAGCACUCUUUUUCAUCGUUGCAACUGUGAUGCUGCAAGUCCUUGCUGUGAAAGCACAACAAGAGAAUCCAGUGUGCGAGGAGCACCUUGGACAUCCAUGCACUCCUGGUGUUAGAGAAUGUUGUGCUAACACUGGACGCCAAUGCGUUGCUGCGCCGUCUUCGAAUGGUUUCCGGUGCAUGUAAACCCGUCAUCCAUCACCACCAACUGCAUAUUGACAACCUAUUGUACUGCUUAAUUAUAUUAAAUCUCCUUUGAGUUCUAUACCUCUUUUAUGAAACUUUAAUGUCUUAUUUUUAUUUUUAUUUUUAUUUUUUGGAUAUGUGUUUAUGUUUAUGUUGUUUGGUGAAGUGCAAAAUCUUGUGUAAAAUGGUUGUCUCAAUUAAUAAAUAAAGAGAGUGUCCUUCGUUUUCUAA